UAAUACGGAGGGUGCAAGCGUUAAUCGGAAUUACUGGGCGUAAAGCGCACGCAGGCGGUUUGUUAAGUCAGAUGUGAAAUCCCGGGCUCAACCUGGGAACUGCAUUUGAAACUGGCAAGCUAGAGUCUCGUAGAGGGGGGUAGAAUUCCAGGUGUAGCGGUGAAAUGCGUAGAGAUCUGGAGGAAUACCGGUGGCGAAGGCGGCCCCCUGGACGAAGACUGACGCUCAGGUGCGAAAGCGUGGGGAGCAAACAGGAUUAGAUACCCUGGUAGUCCACGCUGUAAACGAUGUCGAUUUGGAGGUUGUGCCCUUGAGGCGUGGCUUCCGGAGCUAACGCGUUAAAUCGACCGCCUGGGGAGUACGGCCGCAAGGUUA
This 375-nucleotide ribosomal RNA is filed under the name uncultured Serratia sp. RNAcentral's name for it is "bacterial SSU rRNA". It matches the Rfam family "Bacterial small subunit ribosomal RNA", at positions 521 to 896 of the family's 1533-position model. Lineage: Bacteria; Pseudomonadati; Pseudomonadota; Gammaproteobacteria; Enterobacterales; Yersiniaceae. The record is from RNAcentral.